UCUCCACAGGCCAUCGUCAGCCGCCGCCGUCGCCCGUCAUUGUCUUCCUCACUGCCUGCUUGUCAUUGUCGGUUAGGGGGUAAGGAUUUGCCUCCCCUUCCAACAAAUCGAUUUCGUUCUUCCAGUGCCAGCAUUAUGCGCUGAUUUGUUACCGCCAAGGUCCAGGUUCCCACGCUCACGAUGAAGAGGCUAUGGCAAAGGGCAUGCAGAGGAGCAGCAGGGCUCACUGAGGGGGAGAGGGCGUUACAAAGGGGAGCCGUGAAGGAGGAGGGGCCGCGGCAGCAGGAGCUCGCGAUGGCGGAGAAGAUUCCGUGGUGGUGAAGCGGAGCUUGCAUAUGUGCGGACCGCGCUCCGCAGGAGAGCGUGCGCCACCGGCAAGGCUGCGCCCACGUCGCUGAAGUAGCAGGGGAAGCCGAAGGAGGGGGCGCGGCAUCCCGUGGCCGCGGUAGCCGGCGGGGCGACCCACGUCGCUGAAGUAGCAGGGGAAGCCGAACGAGGGCGCACGGCAUCCUGUGGCCACGAUAGCCGGCGGGGCGACGCGGCAUCGCUGACUCUGCAUCCACCGCCGUCCCUUUGAGUCUCGCGUGGUGGCCUGCAGGGUGACAGGAGGAGGGGCACGGGUUGCUGCUCAUGGCACUGCUGCGCCCAGGCUCUUCCUCCUCGACAAGUCUAGGUCAUUCCUCAUCUCAUCUGACCGCACUCAUGCCACAUAACCUGCUACAGCCGCGCGCUGUGUGUGGCGAGGGAUUAAUUCUCCUGUGCAGUAAUACCCUUUUUGGAGUGUCCCAUGUUUGCAACUAUCCUUAUCUGCAGAGAAAAACAAAGGGACAAACAAAGUCCGGAUGCAAGGUGCAAGACAGGAAAGGCGGUAGUAGGUCGAGAGAAGUGUAGAAGAGGGUUCCUCCAGGCUCCGUCCAUGUACGGUGUCGGUCCGAUGCCUCGGGCAUGUGGCAAUGUCGGGGACCAGCGAGGAAGAUGCUGGUGUACAUCCUUUGGAAUAAAGUUGAAGUCUCUGAUAUAACGGUUCAGAAUAAAUAUCCAAUGAAGAUGAUGCGUGACGAACAGCAUGAAAGUAACUAUCAAGGAAGAAGAGUUAGAUGCUAGCGACAUACCUGUCGAAGAUAUUGGCGGUAAGCAUGUGUCGUACAGGUUAUUUAAGCUUUCCCUUAAGCCAUUCUUAGCCAACCCCGUGCAGUCCAUGCGCUAUGCAUAAGAACCACAGAUCGCUCAAGCAGCGUCGAAGCCUGCCUGUGACUGUUCCAAAUGCAUGCUUAUCAAUCCAGGUCCGACUUCUGUUCCACCAGUCUACUUCAAAAUGUUAGACAUCCAACAGUUACAGAUGUUCACGCUGCUUACUUCCUACCUUACUGCUUCAUUGUUUUAUUACAAAAGCCAGCUCUGAGGCAAAAACUUGAACACAGAGCUUCACACAGCAAUGUUUGCCUCAGCAACAACGCCACAGGUUAUGAUAAAUAUCGUCGUGUGGCUUAUGGAAGGAGCUGCUGACAGGACUAUCUUAACAACAAACUUGACGGAGUUCUUCACAUAGCAAACAUAGAUGAAGGAACGAUGUAUGCCUUCACCUUUAGGCGCAAGGCAAAGCGCCAACGCCUCUAACCAUUCACUCCAUAUGAGGACACCAUCAUAAACCUUCAGUGUCACCUAUAUACAGCUUGUGUACAGGACUUCAUGUUUAUAAUGCUCCUAUGCUAUCUCCACAUUGGUUUGUCUUUCCUUAUGGAUUACCUCUUAGUAUAGAUAUUAUAGAUCGUUCAUUUGAACUACUAUAAGUAUCAGCGAAGAUAGAUAAGCCUAUAUUUCUCUCUUCCUUAAGGUGCCCUGCAAUAGUCACAUAAUGCACGGUUCUAACUGGCUUUUUGCGCCAUGGGCGCGACGGGUCAUCUAGUAUAUAUAAAUGAUGGUUUCUCAGCUCCAUCGAGGACGUUCACAUUGAGCUUUUUCCCUU
Molecule: long non-coding RNA, 1966 nt
Organism: Triticum aestivum (bread wheat)
Lineage: Eukaryota; Viridiplantae; Streptophyta; Magnoliopsida; Poales; Poaceae
Exons: 8
Source: RefSeq, a predicted model, not a curated record